RNAcentral lists this ribosomal RNA (508 nucleotides) under uncultured bacterium. RNAcentral's name for it is "partial 16S ribosomal RNA". It matches the Rfam family "Bacterial small subunit ribosomal RNA", at positions 28 to 507 of the family's 1533-position model. The record is from RNAcentral.
GACGAACGCUGGCGGCGUGCCUAAUACAUGCAAGUCGAGCGCAGGAAGUCAUCCGACCCCUUCGGGGGGACGUUGACGGAAUGAGCGGCGGACGGGUGAGUAACACGUAAAGAACCUGCCCUCAGGUCUGGGAUAACCACGAGAAAUCGGGGCUAAUACCGGAUGGGUCAUCGGACCGCAUGGUCCGAGGAUGAAAGGCGCUCCGGCGUCGCCUGGGGAUGGCUUUGCGGUGCAUUAGCUAGUUGGUGGGGUAAUGGCCCACCAAGGCGACGAUGCAUAGCCGACCUGAGAGGGUGAUCGGCCACACUGGGACUGAGACACGGCCCAGACUCCUACGGGAGGCAGCAGUAGGGGAUCUUCCACAAUGGACGAAAGUCUGAUGGAGCAACGCCGCGUGAACGAUGAAGGCCCUCGGGUCGUAAAGUUCUGUUGUAAGGGAAGAACAAGUGCCGCAGGCAAUGGCGGCACCUUGACGGUACCUUGCGAGAAAGCCACGGCUAACUACGUG